AUGCCGCCACGGCGCUCUACACGCUCUGCAGCGGUGCGCGCGAGAACCGCCUACGUGUGCCCCUUGCUGGACCUGGAGUCCGGCAUGGUCGACAAGGCCGCCUACGUGCUCCACUCCCUGAUGGGCUUCGCCGAGGGCCGCUCCGCCACCGUGGAGGAGGGCGACAUCCCCGUCCUGGUGGAGAUGGUGGAGGUCGGGACCUCGCAGCAGAAGGAGAUCACCACGCUCUCCCUCCUCCAGAUUUACGACGACAACGCGGCAUACCGCACCAUGGUUGCCCGCGAGGGCGCCAUCCCUCCCCUCGUCGCCCUCUCCCAGUCCUCCUCUGCGCGCCCCUAG
RNAcentral lists this ribosomal RNA (339 nucleotides) under Triticum aestivum (bread wheat). Its description in RNAcentral is "partial small subunit ribosomal RNA". The record is from RNAcentral. Lineage: Eukaryota; Viridiplantae; Streptophyta; Magnoliopsida; Poales; Poaceae.